GACAGCAGCAGCCGCGGGAAUACGGAGGGUGCGAGCGUUAAUCGGAAUAACUGGGCGUAAAGGGCACGCAGGCGGUGACUUAAGUGAGGUGUGAAAGCCCCGGGCUUAACCUGGGAAUUGCAUUUCAUACUGGGUCGCUAGAGUACUUUAGGGAGGGGUAGAAUUCCACGUGUAGCGGUGAAAUGCGUAGAUAUAUGGAGGAACACCAGUGGCGAAGCGGCUCUCUGGUCUGUAACUGACGCUCAUGCACGAAAGCGUGGGGAGCAAACAGGAUUAGAUACCCCCGUAGUCCCUGUCUCUUAUACA
RNAcentral lists this ribosomal RNA (306 nucleotides) under uncultured bacterium. Its description in RNAcentral is "partial 16S ribosomal RNA". It matches the Rfam family "Bacterial small subunit ribosomal RNA", at positions 507 to 808 of the family's 1533-position model. The record is from RNAcentral.